This 433-nucleotide ribosomal RNA is filed under the name uncultured bacterium. Its description in RNAcentral is "partial 16S ribosomal RNA". It matches the Rfam family "Bacterial small subunit ribosomal RNA", at positions 29 to 507 of the family's 1533-position model. The record is from RNAcentral.
AACGAACGCUGGCGGCAUGCCUAACACAUGCAAGUCGAACGAGACCUUCGGGUCUAGUGGCGCACGGGUGCGUAACGCGUGGGAACCUGCCCUUAGGUUCGGAAUAACUCCCCGAAAGGGGUGCUAAUACCGGAUAAUGUCUUCGGACCAAAGAUUUAUCGCCUUUGGAUGGGCCCGCGUUGGAUUAGCUAGUUGGUAGGGUAAAAGCCUACCAAGGCGACGAUCCGUAGCUGGUCUGAGAGGAUGAUCAGCCACACUGGGACUGAGACACGGCCCAGACUCCUACGGGAAGCAGCAGUGGGGAAUAUUGGACAAUGGGCGAAAGCCUGAUCCAGCAAUGCCGCGGGAGUGAUGAAGGCCUUAGGGUUGUAAAGCUCUUUUACCCGGGAUGAUAAUGACAGUACCGGGAGAAUAAGCUCCGGCUAACUCCGUG